Drosophila innubila is the source of this 598-nucleotide long non-coding RNA. RefSeq lists it as uncharacterized. NCBI's taxonomy places the organism in Eukaryota, Metazoa, Arthropoda, Insecta, Diptera, Drosophilidae. The record is from RefSeq and is a predicted model, not a curated record. The transcript is spliced from 2 exons.
ACCGCAGCCGAGUUUGCUCGUCGCCAGUCGCGAACUGAGGCCGCUUGUCAGUUACGAAGCAAACGUCUAGCGUGAAGGUUCAGCAGAAGCGUUUCAAUAACACAAGCUGAGGAUAAACCGCCGGCAGAAGCAGCAGCAGCAGCAGCAGCAGCGGCAGCACGUGCCCACAACAACAAUUAUAACAACAACAACAAGCAAUUGCAACAAAUAUCAACAACAACAACAACAACAGCUAACGCGUCCCGUUUGGAUGCUUUAGCUCCCUUUAAAGUGGGUGAAUACCAAAAAUUCCACUGAAAUUUACAAGAAAAAAGCAAAUAUAUAUAACAUAAAUCGAGUAAAAUACAGAAAAAGAACAGAAAAGACUCGCAUACGCAUACGCAAAGGCAAAACAAAAACCUAAAGCUAAAAAGCAAUUAAAAACGAAACAAAUUGUGCCGUAAGUCAAGUUGGGGGCUCUCGCCCAACUUCCCACCAAAACAACAAACAACAAACAACAACAACAAGUACAAUAACAAGUACAACAAUAAUACAACAACAAACCCAUCGCAUCAGUUACAGGAGCAGCAACAGGAAUAGAAGCAGCAGGAGAAUAAAA